GAUAUCACUUGGUCGUAAUUUGUAGUAUCGAGAAUGAAGACAAGUCAAACAUGGUUGCAUCCUUAGAUCAAUUUCGUCGCCAGUUUCCCCCGGUCGCACCGAUGAAAUGUAUUCAGCAUUACUUAAAAGAGCAGCUGAUUGUUUCAAAUUCGAAAAUGGUGGGGAAUGUUCAGUGGGCACCAGCAGCCACUGUUGACAUGGAAAAGUGAGUGAUGUAAAAUGCAUAUGUGCUGCAGAGUAUAGUGCACAUUGUUAAUUUUGUAUAGAUUGUAUAGUACUAAAAUUUAAAUUUACACACUCCAGGGUUUUUUUUAUUUUUAUGUUUUGUGUACGUAAUUCUUACAGUAUAAUUAGCCCAAAUUUAACUAAUUAUGGAG
Molecule: non-coding RNA, 377 nt
Organism: Paramuricea clavata
Lineage: Eukaryota; Metazoa; Cnidaria; Anthozoa; Malacalcyonacea; Plexauridae
Source: the annotation of a GenBank genome assembly